GACGAACGCUGGCGGCGCGCCUAACACAUGCAAGUCGAACGAGCGAGAGAGAGCUUGCUUUCUCGAGCGAGUGGCGAACGGGUGAGUAACGCGUGAGGAACCUGCCUCAAAGAGGGGGACAACAGUUGGAAACGACUGCUAAUACCGCAUAAGCCCACGACCCGGCAUCGGGUAGAGGGAAAAGGAGCAAUCCGCUUUGAGAUGGCCUCGCGUCCGAUUAGCUAGUUGGUGAGGUAACGGCCCACCAAGGCGACGAUCGGUAGCCGGACUGGGAGGUUGAACGGCCACAUUGGGACUGAGACACGGCCCAGACUCCUACGGGAGGCAGCAGUGGGGAAUAUUGCACAAUGGGGGAAACCCUGAUGCAGCGACGCCGCGUGGAGGAAGAAGGUCUUCGGAUUGUAAACUCCUGUUGUUGAGGAAGAUAAUGACGGUACUCAACAAGGAAGUGACGGCUAACUACGUG
RNAcentral lists this ribosomal RNA (466 nucleotides) under uncultured bacterium. RNAcentral's name for it is "partial 16S ribosomal RNA". It matches the Rfam family "Bacterial small subunit ribosomal RNA", at positions 28 to 507 of the family's 1533-position model. The record is from RNAcentral.